GUGAACGCUGGCGGUAGGCCUAACACAUGCAAGUCGAACGGCAGCACAGUAAGAGCUUGCUCUUACGGGUGGCGAGUGGCGGACGGGUGAGGAAUACAUCGGAAUCUACUUUUUCGUGGGGGAUAACGUAGGGAAACUUACGCUAAUACCGCAUACGACCUACGGGUGAAAGCAGGGGAUCUUCGGACCUUGCGCGAUUGAAUGAGCCGAUGUCGGAUUAGCUAGUUGGCGGGGUAAAGGCCCACCAAGGCGACGAUCCGUAGCCGGUCUGAGAGGAUGAUCAGCCACACUGGAACUGAGACACGGUCCAGACUCCUACGGGAGGCAGCAGUGGGGAAUAUUGGACAAUGGGCGCAAGCCUGACCCAGCCAUACCGCGUGGGUGAAGAAGGCCUUCGGGUUGUAAAGCCCUUUUGUUGGGAAAGAAAAGCAGCAGGUUAAUACCCCGCUGUUCUGACGGUACCCAAAGAAUAAGCACCGGCUAACUUCGUG
This 491-nucleotide ribosomal RNA is filed under the name uncultured bacterium. RNAcentral's name for it is "partial 16S ribosomal RNA". It matches the Rfam family "Bacterial small subunit ribosomal RNA", at positions 29 to 507 of the family's 1533-position model. The record is from RNAcentral.